UGAGGUCUAUGAAUUUUACAUUAUCCACUG
Molecule: non-coding RNA, 30 nt
Filed under: Rattus norvegicus (Norway rat)
Lineage: Eukaryota; Metazoa; Chordata; Mammalia; Rodentia; Muridae
Source: RNAcentral